UGCGAAGUUCUGGCCUAGUACAGGUUUGUGUUUUGAUUUUAUUUUUUAUUUGUCUUUCUUGAAAGUUAAUUGCCUUGUUAAAUCUUUUAGGAUUGCCAUCGGAUUUGCUUUCUGUUUCAAGGACCAGUCUAGUUUCUUCCUUUCAGAGAAAAUAAAGCUAUAUUAGACUGGUGGUCAUUUCUUCAAGUUUUAGUCAUGUAGAAUUUAGAUCAACAAUGACAUAGUGAUAUAAUCAUCUGAAUGCACUUGGUUAUCCAUCUUCCAUAUUUAGAGAUUGCAAUUUCAAUCAUUUUUGUGAUUAGUGAAUAAUUUGUCUAUAGCAUGGAAUUGGAAGUACCGUGUCAGUUCAAUAUACAUGUGUACAUGUUGAUAGCUCUUCAGUUUUACUGAUGACUCCAUC
This 400-nucleotide unclassified non-coding RNA is filed under the name Hevea brasiliensis (rubber tree). Lineage: Eukaryota; Viridiplantae; Streptophyta; Magnoliopsida; Malpighiales; Euphorbiaceae. The record is from RNAcentral.